Molecule: ribosomal RNA, 256 nt
Filed under: uncultured bacterium
Lineage: Bacteria
Description: partial 16S ribosomal RNA
Rfam family: Bacterial small subunit ribosomal RNA
Source: RNAcentral
UACGAAGGGGGCUAGCGUUGUUCGGAAUUACUGGGCGUAAAGCGUAUGCAGGCGGAUCGUUAAGUCGGGGGUGAAAUCCCGAGGCUCAACCUCGGAACUGCCUUCGAUACUGGCGACCUUCGAGUCCGGGAGAGGUGAGUGGAACUCCGAGUGUAGAGGUGAAAUUCGUAGAUAUUCGGAAGAACACCAGUGGCGAAGGCGGCUCACUGGCCCGGUACUGACGCUGAGAUACGAAAAGCGUGGGGGAGCAAACAGG